GUUCCUGUUGUUGUUGCUGCUGCUGCUGCUGUUCCUGCUGCUGCUAGGCCUGUUGCUGCUUUAAAUAUACCCAGUGCUGCUAAUCCUGAUCCUCCGGUUAUUGCUGCAGCAAGUAAUGCUCGUUUUACUACUUUCAUACCCUUUUGAACUACUGAUUUUACUUGGUUCACUAGAGCUACUACAUGCUUUACUUUACAUAUUGCCCACAGUAUUGUGCUUGUUGCACGUUGUAAAUAUGUUCUAAUUACUGCCACUAUUACAGCUCCUGCUAUUGCUCCAACUACUGAUGAUCCUCUCUGUGACUGUCCUAUUAAUGAUAGCAGUGUUGCUGCUGCUGUUCCUGCUAUACCUCCUGCUAUGGUUGCUAUUGCUGCUCCCACUGUUUCUUCUAUUAGUCUCACUUCUGGUUCCCAUAAUGAUCUUAAAAUGUAUAUACCCCCUCCUGCUGCGGCUCCUGCUACUGCUCCUGCUGCUGCUCCUGCAACUGUGUCAAAUACUCUUGUUCCUGCUAUGUGUAUUGCUACUGCAACUACUGCAACUGUCAGUGCCAUUUUUGUUAUGUCUAGAGAAGUUUGUUUCCAUGUUUUUGCUGGUUCACCUCCUGCUUUGUUUGCAGAUGCUGCUGUAGCUGCUUCAGGUUUGGUAUAUGCAACAAAUAAAAAUUUUGCUCUCUCAGUUAACGUCUCUGCGACAAAACCAUUGUUCCCUGACGGAUGAGUGGAGGGGAUUCCAGACAGGAAACCAGUCACUGAGUUGUAUAAAAACAUGUCAGUGAAAUUGUUCUUUGCUAUGGAUACACUUUGGAUACACUAUGGAUACUAUGGAUACACUUUGCUAUGGAACACUGCUAUGGAUCACUUGUACCCCAAUGUCAUUUAGGAGCAAUGGAGUUUGCAAUCUACUGUUUCCUCAGUGCUCACCUCAUAAUCACAGCUGUUUCCUCCAGCGAAAAUGUAACUCUUAAUGAACAUUUUACUAUUUUUAAUUCAAAAUAAACUACCAUUAUAAAGCACAUUACAGUGUAUGUGUCAUUAUCUAUACCACAGUCAUGCACAGAAAGUAUUAAACAGUGACAGAACCACUUAGUGAAUGUACUCGUUUUAUCUGUCAAUGUCACUGACAGAGAUAGAAACAUCAUGUGAUGUCUUGAAUUAAAAAUAAUUCCUAUUGUAAAAUUAUGAUUCAGCUCGUGAAAUAUGUGAAUUAGUU
Danio rerio (zebrafish) is the source of this 1209-nucleotide non-coding RNA. The record is from RefSeq and is a predicted model, not a curated record. NCBI's taxonomy places the organism in Eukaryota, Metazoa, Chordata, Actinopteri, Cypriniformes, Danionidae.